UGGGGAAUAUUGCGCAAUGGGGGAAACCCUGACGCAGCGACGCCGUGUGAGGGAAGAAGGCUUUCGGGUCGUAAACCUCUGUCAGGAAGGAAGAACCUCUCAAGGCUGAACAAGCCUUGGGACUGACGGUACUUCCAGAGGAAGCACCGGCUAACUCCGUGCCAGCAGCCGCGGUAAUACGGAGGGUGCAAGCGUUAUCCGGAUUUAUUGGGUUUAAAGGGUCCGUAGGCGGACUUAUAAGUCAGUGGUGAAAGCCUGUCGCUUAACGAUAGGACUGCCAUUGAUACUGUAAGUCUUGAGUAUAUUUGAGGUAGCUGGAAUAAGUAGUGUAGCGGUGAAAUGCAUAGAUAUUACUUAGAACACCAAUUGCGAAGGCAGGUUACCAAGAUAUAACUGACGCUGAGGGACGAAAGCGUGGGGAGCGAACA
RNAcentral lists this ribosomal RNA (428 nucleotides) under uncultured bacterium. RNAcentral's name for it is "bacterial SSU rRNA". It matches the Rfam family "Bacterial small subunit ribosomal RNA", at positions 355 to 774 of the family's 1533-position model. The record is from RNAcentral.